This 510-nucleotide ribosomal RNA is filed under the name uncultured bacterium. Its description in RNAcentral is "partial 16S ribosomal RNA". The record is from RNAcentral.
GGAGUUAGCCGGUGCUUCUUCUGCGAGUAACGUCACAGAUGUAAGGUAUUAACUUACACCCUUUCCUCCUCGCUGAAAGUGCUUUACAACCCGAAGGCCUUCUUCACACACGCGGCAUGGCUGCAUCAGGGUUUCCCCCAUUGUGCAAUAUUCCCCACUGCUGCCUCCCGUAGGAGUCUGGGCCGUGUCUCAGUCCCAGUGUGGCUGAUCAUCCUCUCAGACCAGCUAGGGAUCGUCGCCUAGGUGAGCCUUUACCUCACCUACUAGCUAAUCCCACCUGGGCUUAUCCAUCAGCGCAAGGCCCGAAGGUCCCCUGCUUUCCCCCGUAGGGCGUAUGCGGUAUUAGCAGUCGUUUCCAACUGUUAUCCCCCACAAAUGGGCAAAUUCCCAGGCAUUACUCACCCGUCCGCCGCUCGUCAUCUUCAAAGCAAGCUUUUGAAAUGUUACCGAUCGACUUGCAUGUGUUAGGCCUGCCGCCAGCGUUCAAUCUGAGCCAUGAUCAAACUCUGA